Hemicordylus capensis (graceful crag lizard) is the source of this 591-nucleotide long non-coding RNA. RefSeq lists it as uncharacterized. The record is from RefSeq and is a predicted model, not a curated record. The transcript has 4 exons. NCBI's taxonomy places the organism in Eukaryota, Metazoa, Chordata, Lepidosauria, Squamata, Cordylidae.
CUGUAACCGUGGGUACUGCUGCUCUCAGUAACAUCUGAACAAGCCUUUAAAUGGCUGGAUAGCCUAUAAUGUUGGGGUACAGAGUACCAACGUUCUGGAAGUUGCAGCUUUCAGCUAAGAAACAAGAUGAGGUGCUCUUCUCCACUAACCACCUGGGAUAACAUGGCACCAAGGCCAGUGGCAGAGUCAUCAUCAAUAAAGCCAUUAAAGGCUUUAUAGGAAGGAGUCUAAGGCUGAGCCAAGGCCUCCACUGAGGUUCCAGGAAGGAACCAGACCUCAGAUAGCUCCAAGGCAGCACAAUAGAGUCCAUAAUCAAGAAACCAACACAGAAAUGAAAUGGGAGCCAAAAUUAAAAGAAAUCAUAUGCUGUUAACAAACUAAUAUUUAUAAAUCAAUUUAAACAAAAUAAUUUUACAUGUUUACAUAAUAUGCAUGUGUACAUUAUAUCAAAACAUUGGACCCCAAUUCCCUUAAAAGAAUCACGAGGGUAGAAGAAAGCCAAACCAGAAGGAGGAGUCUCACAAUUUUUUGUACUCUACAAAUGAAUGAAGAAGCAAAUCCUCAGUUUUCCCUGCAGUUCCCAGGCUUCAG